GUAGUUGUGGCCGAAUGGUUUAAGACAAUACACAUGUAAUCCAUUGGGGUUUCCCUCUGCAGGUUUAAAUCCUGCCGACUUCG
Pelobates cultripes (western spadefoot toad) is the source of this 83-nucleotide non-coding RNA. NCBI's taxonomy places the organism in Eukaryota, Metazoa, Chordata, Amphibia, Anura, Pelobatidae. The record is from the annotation of a GenBank genome assembly.